Tripterygium wilfordii is the source of this 988-nucleotide long non-coding RNA. RefSeq lists it as uncharacterized. The transcript has 2 exons. NCBI's taxonomy places the organism in Eukaryota, Viridiplantae, Streptophyta, Magnoliopsida, Celastrales, Celastraceae. The record is from RefSeq and is a predicted model, not a curated record.
AUUUUUCCACGAUGUUCAUUCUCAACCGCAACAUUGAGAUAGACCCACGGAGAUAAUCGGUGAUCUUCAGCCUUCAGGCUAUUGACGACGACGAUGGAGGGGAUAGUUUUAUAACCAUCGAUGCUUUCUUAAACGUUUACGAUGGGCAUACUUUAAAAACAGCAGAGGAGUUGCAAGCUGCCAAGUGCCAAGAGAAAAGUGGAAGACCUUGAAAGUGCAAAUGAUUAAUUGAAUGAUGCAAAGAUACUCGAUGGCUCAAAAUUUGCAGAAUGCAGUCACUCAGAUUGGCCAGCUUAAAUCUGAAACUAAAGGAUUGAAUGUACAUAUUGCAGAUUGGGAAGUUGGAGGAGGUGUGAGGUAUGAAUUUAUGAAUGCAUCUUUGAUGGCAAAUGAUUUGUCAGAGAGCAGCCACUAAUGCUGAGGAACUUCAGUCCCAAAAUUAAAUCUUGUAGGCCGCUGUCACUUACUAGCCCAUUCUAAUACAAAUACACGAAUUGUUGUGUAAUAGUUGCAUUCAAGAUAUAAUUUUUGGGAUUGAUGUUCCUCAGUAUUAAUGGCUGCUCUCUGCAAAUCUUUUGCCAUCAUUUCUCUUGAUAGCAUUCUUGUGGAUUCAUCAUGCUCUCUCUGUGAAAGGUUUCUUCGAGCUUUCGCUAGCUUAGUGCUCUAGUCUGUCCUUCAUCUUGAAGGCCUUCUAUGCUACUGGGCUUAAGUUUUACUUUUAUCUAUUGGAUCUUGGUCUACUCUAUUGGGCUUCAACUUAUGUAUUCUUAGAGCCAAUAGAUCAUGUGUAAUUAAUUCAAAUUAUAUUUGUUUAUUCUUAUACUGUCUACAUCAUGUAACAAAAAAAAUAAAAAAUACCAUUGCAAGUGCUCAAAAUAUAUUGAGAUAUGUAUUUUGUUGGGAUCAACAAAAUGUAUUGGGAUAUGUGUUUUGUUGAUGUGAUCGGUUUAACAAAAUAUAUUAGUACAAUGGUAUAAAUUUGUUGGUU